CCCUCCCUGCUUGUCCUCCCCUGUCCCCCACUGUCUGCCCCCGACCGGCCCUCCUCCUGCAGCAGGCAGCCCAUCUUUUGUGCAGUCUGUGAGAAGGGCGGGCAGGGCCGGGCGGGCGUGAACCCGCUGGCAUCCCAUGUGUGCACAGCCCUGGCUUGGGCCUCCCAGCCCCUGCAUCCCGAGCACCCGUGGGGCAGUUGGCAGCAUCCUGGCACGGCCUGGGACAUUAAUUGGUGAUUUUAAUGACUGCUGGUCUGGCAGAGACGGAGUGACUACAGGCUGGGCCGAGCAGGCUGUGAGCAGAAGCUGGGAAAGGCACCCGCCCAGGUCUCCAGGGGAGAGGAGGGGUUUGCAGGGCCCGUCUCAGGACCUCCUUCCCGAGUCGGCUUCCUGGCCACGCACAUUGGGAGCCCUGGGUAGGGUGCGGCCCCUGUACUUAGCUGUCUCUGGUGCUGGCAGUGCCAGUGGGGCACGAGUUCUGGUUUGGGCUGAGGCUGGCCCGCUGGUUGGGGUGGCGUCUGCCUGAGAACUGGUGUUGUCUGUGCCUUAAGCUUCCUGCGCUCACGGGGCCGUGGAAAAGCACUCAGUGAGCCUUUCCUGUCCCAGACGUCCUCCUGCUCCUCCUGAUGCCCCGGCCUCCACGGAGGGCGACCAGCUCCAGCCCAGCUCUCGCCGUCUCCACCUCCCAGUCCCCUGAUGCACCGGGAGCCUCCUGAGCCAUGAACCCCUGCUGGCAGGAGUGGCCCCUGACCGCUGGGGACCCCUGCCCCGGCUGCUGUCAUGUGGAAAGGAUUCAGGGAGCAGGCGCUGCUCAGACUGAAGUGUGGGGGCCGCGCUGCCUGCCCCCAGCCACAGCUGCACACCCAGGUCACGGAUGCGUCGGGAACAGCUGUGGCUCCCGCUGCUCAGCAUCCAUCACGCCAGGCUGGGAGCGGGUCCCCAAGCUUCCGGCUGGGCCCUGUCCAUCUCCACUCUCAGUGGGGGGGGGUUGCUCUCUGACAGUGGGCAGAGGGUCCUCCUGCAGCCCCAAAACAUCCCAGGCAGGGGCCCUGGGGCUCCGAGCAGCCAAGGACAGGCUGCAAGACCUGUGCCUGUCCAUCCAAGCUCAACCUUCAGUUUCCUCGAGGCUCCUUGCCCAGAACGUCCACAUUUGAAACUCCCAACACGGAGCCCCAUUUCAAGAAUAACCAGGAGGGAAAAUGGUGGCUUCACAUAAGCAUGCCACGAAGAAAAACCCAUUUCUCAAGAUGGGCUCUGGCCGCUCAGACCCUCACCUCCCCUGCCAGGAUGGAAUGUCCCAGAGUCCCAUUAGUGCCAAAGGCAAAUUAAAACACACCCUGUAAAAAUGUC
Molecule: long non-coding RNA, 1350 nt
Organism: Sapajus apella (tufted capuchin)
Lineage: Eukaryota; Metazoa; Chordata; Mammalia; Primates; Cebidae
Exons: 2
Source: RefSeq, a predicted model, not a curated record